GAUGAACGCUGGCGGCGUGCCUAAUACAUGCAAGUCGAGCGAACAGAUGAGAAGCUUGCUUCUCUGAUGUUAGCGGCGGACGGGUGAGUAACACGUGGGUAACCUACCUAUAAGACUGGGAUAACUCCGGGAAACCGGGGCUAAUACCGGAUAAUAUUUUGAACCGCAUGGUUCAAUAGUGAAAGACGGUUUCGGCUGUCACUUAUAGAUGGACCCGCGCCGUAUUAGCUAGUUGGUAAGGUAACGGCUUACCAAGGCGACGAUACGUAGCCGCCCUGAGAGGGUGAUCGGCCACACUGGAACUGCGACACGGUCCAGACUCCUACGGGAGGCAGCAGUAGGGAAUCUUCCGCAAUGGGCGAAAGCCUGGCGGAGCAACGCCGCGUGAGUGAUGAAGGUCUUCGGAUCGUAAAACUCUGUUGUUAGGGAAGAACAAAUUUGUUAGUAACUGAACAAGUCUUGACGGUACCUAACCAGAAAGCCACGGCUAACUACGUGCCAGCAGCAGCCGCGG
This 514-nucleotide ribosomal RNA is filed under the name uncultured bacterium. RNAcentral describes it as "partial 16S ribosomal RNA". It matches the Rfam family "Bacterial small subunit ribosomal RNA", at positions 28 to 523 of the family's 1533-position model. The record is from RNAcentral.